UAACAUUAAAUGCACAUUUUGUUUUGGCCCAAGUGAUACUGAAGUCACCCGAUGAUAUAAAUUGAUCAGAAUUCAGGUUCUCCAUCUCUUGUUGAUAGACUCAACAAAGGUGCAAGGGGAGGCUACUAAUUUUAUGCCAUCUAUUGAGAAAUGUUCACUCAUACUUGGAUACAUCAACUAUUGGCGAUCGAAUAACUGCAUUGCCAAAUUCCAAUAUCAAAGUUUCAAUAUCAAUUUCCAAGUCAUUCGUUUACUUUUUCUGCUUCAUCAGUCUAGCUUCAGAGCAAGGAGGUGAAAAUAAACCUAUGAGAAAACUCGGAAUAUAAUCUAAGCCAAAACUCAAUAAGAUGCGGUAGGAAAAACUUGUUGAGCUUAUCAGUUUAACAUUGUUGUUCAGCGUCACCACGUUCUUUGCUCUUUGGCCUUUGCUGUUCUGUCCAGCCUAGAACCUAGCUAGUGUUAGUCCCACAUCGGCAAAUCGUCGUGUGAGCAAAGCGUUGAGCAGUUAUAAAAGCCAAGGAAAGCCACGAAGCAAAUCAUACCUUUCUCGGCCUUUUGGCUAAGAUCAAGUGUAGUAUCUGUUCUUAUCAGUUUAAUAUCUGAUACGUGGGCCAUCGGCCCACAUGAUAUUAAAUUAAUUUUUUAAGGGGGAGGGUCCGACACAAUAGCUUGCUAUUGGGAUCCUCGAGCGUCGCCCAUGCGUUGCACUGCUGCACGGGCCUGGCGCACCCCACCAAAACUGAGUUUGAGGUUUUUCUCUUUCCGUUGUUGUAUGGCCAGCUUUAGGAACAUGGUUCGACAAGGGAGUUUCAUUUUGGCAGCUCUGUGCAACAUUUUUCUGGUCACUCUGCUAUUGCGCUUAACAUCAAAUGCACAUUAAGUGAUACUGAAAUCACCCAAUGACAUAAAUUGAUCAGAAUUCAGGUGGAUUUAAAGGACAACAUAUGGUGUGUUGGAAAGGAUGCAGACAACAUGGCCGAAAAAGAAACGAUAAAAACAUUCUUUGAAAUGACAUUUGCAGAUGAAAUGUGAACGACGAACAUGCAUCGUCUCCUUAAUUCUCUCUCACUUUUGCUUUGUUAGGUUCUCCAUCUCUUGUUGAUAGACUCAACAAAGGUGCAAGGGGAGGCUACUAAUUUUAUACCACUAAAAUUAUAUUCAUAUAUUUCAAAUCCUUUAUGUUUAUUUUAUUUCAGAGGAAAUAUAUAUAAAACUGAAAUAAUUUUAC
Prosopis cineraria is the source of this 1228-nucleotide long non-coding RNA. RefSeq lists it as uncharacterized. Lineage: Eukaryota; Viridiplantae; Streptophyta; Magnoliopsida; Fabales; Fabaceae. The record is from RefSeq and is a predicted model, not a curated record. The transcript is spliced from 3 exons.